RNAcentral lists this ribosomal RNA (493 nucleotides) under uncultured bacterium. RNAcentral describes it as "bacterial SSU rRNA". It matches the Rfam family "Bacterial small subunit ribosomal RNA", at positions 29 to 517 of the family's 1533-position model. The record is from RNAcentral.
AUUGAACGCUGGCGGCGUGCUUAACACAUGCAAGUCGAUCGGUAACAGGUGUAGCAAUACAUGCUGACGAGAGGCGGACGGGUGAGUAAUGCUUGGGAAUCUGCCUAUUAGUGGGGGACAACCCGGGGAAACUCGGGCUAAUACCGCAUACGCUCUACGGAGGAAAGCCGGGGACCGCAAGGCCUGGCGCUAAUAGAUGAGCCCAAGUCGGAUUAGCUAGUUGGUAGGGAACGGCCUACCAAGGCGACAAUCCGUAGCUGGUCUGAGAGGACGACCAGCCACACCGGAACUGAGACACGGUCCGGACUCCUACGGGAGGCAGCAGUGGGGAAUAUUGGACAAUGGGGGCAACCCUGAUCCAGCGACGCCGCGUGGGUGAAGAAGGCCUGCGGGUUGUAAAGCCCUUUCGGUGGGGAAGAAAGUCUCGACCUAAUACGUCGGGACCUUGACGUAACCCACUAAAGAAGCACGGCUAACUCUGUGCCAGCAGCCG